Non-coding RNA from Nothobranchius furzeri (turquoise killifish), 251 nucleotides. Lineage: Eukaryota; Metazoa; Chordata; Actinopteri; Cyprinodontiformes; Nothobranchiidae. The record is from RefSeq and is a predicted model, not a curated record.
UAGAUGGACCACAUGAUCACCGGAGCAAAGUAUUCGGCGGCUGUGGCAUGGAGGGGAAGGUGCCAGCGAUGACCAGCUUCUGGAGCUGAUCAGGGAGGACAUGAGGCUGCAGAGGGAGGCAGAGCAGCAGAGGGCACAGGAGAGAAGGAAGAACUUUGACAGCUUUUUACUUUGCUAGAAAAAAAUGGUUAAUAAAGAUUAAACAUGUACAUAUAAAAGAAAUAUCUAAAUAAAAUCAGUUCUGCAUUAAA